UACAGAGGUGGCGAGCGUUGUUCGGAUUUACUGGGCGUAAAGCGUGCGUAGGCGGUCCGGUGUGUCGGAUGUGAAAUCCCGGGGCUCACCCCCGGAAGUGCAUCCGAAACUGCCGGACUAGGAUUCGGGAUGGGGAAUCGGAACACAAGGUGUAGCAGUGAAAUGCGUUGAUAUCUUGUGGAACACCGGAGGCGAAGGCGGAUUCCUGGAACGAGAUCGACGCUGAGGCACGAAAGCGUGGGGAGCAAAC
RNAcentral lists this ribosomal RNA (250 nucleotides) under uncultured prokaryote. RNAcentral's name for it is "partial 16S ribosomal RNA". It matches the Rfam family "Bacterial small subunit ribosomal RNA", at positions 524 to 773 of the family's 1533-position model. The record is from RNAcentral.